RNAcentral lists this ribosomal RNA (465 nucleotides) under uncultured bacterium. RNAcentral describes it as "partial 16S ribosomal RNA". It matches the Rfam family "Bacterial small subunit ribosomal RNA", at positions 28 to 507 of the family's 1533-position model. The record is from RNAcentral.
GACGAACGCUAGCGGCGUGCUUAACACAUGCAAGUCGAACGGUAAGGCUCCAGCUUGCUGGGGUACACGAGUGGCGAACGGGUGAGUAACACGUGGGUGACCUGCCCUGCACUUCGGGAUAAGCCUGGGAAACUGGGUCUAAUACCGGAUAGGACCGCACCGUGAGGGUGUGGUGGAAAGUUUUUUCGGUGUGGGAUGGGCCCGCGGCCUAUCAGCUUGUUGGUGGGGUAAUGGCCUACCAAGGCGGCGACGGGUGGCCGGCCUGAGAGGGUGGACGGCCACAUUGGGACUGAGACACGGCCCAGACUCCUACGGGAGGCAGCAGUGGGGAAUAUUGCACAAUGGGCGGAAGCCUGAUGCAGCGACGCCGCGUGGGGGAUGACGGCCUUCGGGUUGUAAACUCCUUUCACCAUCGACGAAGGGUUUCUGACGGUAGAUGGAGAAGAAGCACCGGCUAACUACGUG